GUCCGAAGUACAGUGAUGUUGUCUUUUCCAAGCAUAUAUCUGACUGCUCUGUGUGGAAAGUGACUGUUGCUGAGUAUUUUGGAU
Molecule: small nucleolar RNA, 84 nt
Filed under: Charadrius vociferus (killdeer)
Lineage: Eukaryota; Metazoa; Chordata; Aves; Charadriiformes; Charadriidae
Description: Small nucleolar RNA SNORD121A
Rfam family: Small nucleolar RNA SNORD121A
Source: Rfam by way of RNAcentral